AGAGUUUGAUCAUGGCUCAGGAUGAACGCUAGCGGCGUGCUAAUGCAUGCAAGUCGAACGGGAUCCUUUUGGAUUCUUCUGAUGGUGAGAGUGGCGAACGGGUGAGUAACACGUUGGUGACCUGCCCCAGAGAGGGGGAUAACUAUUGGAAACGAUAGCUAAUACCCCAGAUGUCAUUGUUGUUAGAGAGUAAUGACUAAAUGCUCCGGCGCUCUGGGAGGGGCCUGCGGCCCAUCAGCUAGUUGGUAGGGUAAUGGCCUACCAAGGCAAAGACGGGUAGGGGGCGUGAGAGCGUGACCCCCCACACUGGUACUGAUACACGGACCAGAUACCUACGGGUAGCAGCAGCAAGGAAUAUUGCCCAAUGGACGCAAGUCUGAGGCAGCAACGCCGCGUGGAGGAUGAAGGCCUUCGGGUUGUAAACUCCUUUUCUGGGGGAAGAGAAAGGACGGUACCCCAGGAAUAAGUCUCGGCUAACUACGUGCCAGCAGCCGCGGUAAAACGUAGGAGGCGAGCGUUAUCCGGAUUUACUGGGCGUAAAGCGCGUGCAGGCGGUUUUCUAAGUCGGACGUGAAAGCUCCCGGCUCAACUGGGAGAGGUCGUUCGAAACUAGGAAACUUGAGGAUGGUAGAGGAGAGUGGAAUUCCCGGUGUAGUGGUGAAAUGCGUAGAUAUCGGGAGGAACACCAGUGGCGAAGGCGGCUCUCUGGGCCAUUCCUGACGCUAAGACGCGAAAGCUAGGGGAGAGAACGGGAUUAGAAACCCCGGUAUUCCUAGCCGUAAACGAUGUCAACUAGGUGUAGGGGGUAUCCAACCCCUCUGUGCUGUAGCAAACGCGUUAAGUUGACCGCCUGGGGACUACGGCCGCAAGGCUAAAACUCAAAUGAAUUGACGG
Molecule: ribosomal RNA, 894 nt
Filed under: uncultured bacterium
Lineage: Bacteria
Description: bacterial SSU rRNA
Rfam family: Bacterial small subunit ribosomal RNA
Source: RNAcentral